RNAcentral lists this ribosomal RNA (1514 nucleotides) under metagenome. Its description in RNAcentral is "bacterial SSU rRNA". It matches the Rfam family "Bacterial small subunit ribosomal RNA". The record is from RNAcentral.
AGAGUUUGAUCCUGGCUCAGGAUGAACGCUGGCGGCGUGCUUAACACAUGCAAGUUGAACGAAGCAAUUUAGCGGAAGUUUUCGGAUGGAAGUUAAAUUGACUGAGUGGCGGACGGGUGAGUAACGCGUGGGUAACCUGCCUCACACUGGGGGACAACAGUUAGAAAUGACUGCUAAUACCGCAUAAGCGCACAGGACCGCAUGGUCCGGUGUGAAAAACUCCGGUGGUGUGAGAUGGACCCGCGUUUGAUUAGCUAGUUGGUGGGGUAACGGCCUACCAAGGCGACGAUCAAUAGCCGACCUGAGAGGGUGACCGGCCACAUUGGGACUGAGACACGGCCCAAACUCCUACGGGAGGCAGCAGUGGGGAAUAUUGCACAAUGGGGGAAACCCUGAUGCAGCGACGCCGCGUGAGUGAAGAAGUAUUUCGGUAUGUAAAGCUCUGUUGUAAGUCAAGAACGAGUGUGAGAGUGGAAAGUUCACACUGUGACGGUAGCUUACCAGAAAGGGACGGCUGACUACGUACCAGCAGCCGCGGUAAUACGUAGGUCCCGAGCGUUGUCCGGAUUUAUUGGGCGUAAAGCGAGCGCAGGCGGUUUGAUGAGUCUGAAGUUAAAGGCUGUGGCUCAACCAUAGUUCGCUUUGGAAACUGUCAAACUUGAGUGCAGAAGGGGAGAGUGGAAUUCCAUGUGUAGCGGUGAAAUGCGUAGAUAUAUGGAGGAACACCGGUGGCGAAAGCGGCUCUCUGGUCUGUAACUGACGCUGAGGCUCGAAAGCGUGGGGAGCGAACAGGAUUAGAUACCCUGGUAGUCCACGCCGUAAACGAUGAGUGCUAGGUGUUGGAUCCUUUCCGGGAUUCAGUGCCGCGGCUAACGCAUUAAGCACUCCGCCUGGGGAGUACGACCGCAAGGUUGAAACUCAAAGGAAUUGACGGGGGCCCGCACAAGCGGUGGAGCGUGUGGUUUAAUUCGAAGCAACGCGAAGAACCUUACCAGGUCUUGACAUCCCGAUGCUAUUUCUAGAGAUAGAAAGUUACUUCGGUACAUCGGUGACAGGUGGUGCAUGGUUGUCGUCAGCUCGUGUCGUGAGAUGUUGGGUUAAGUCCCGCAACGAGCGCAACCCCUAUUGUUAGUUGCCAUCAUUCAGUUGGGCACUCUAGCGGGACUGCCGGUAAUAAACCGGAGGAAGGUGGGGAUGACGUCAAAUCAUCAUGCCCCUUAUGACCUGGGCUACACACGUGCUACAAUGGUUGGUACAACGAGUUGCGAGUCGGUGACGGCAAGCUAAUCUCUUAAAGCCAAUCUCAGUUCGGAUUGUAGGCUGCAACUCGCCUACAUGAAGUCGGAAUCGCUAGUAAUCGCGGAUCAGCACGCCGCGGUGAAUACGUUCCCGGGCCUUGUACACACCGCCCGUCACACCACGAGAGUUUGUAACACCCGAAGUCGGUGAGGUAACCUUUUGGAGCCAGCCGCCUAAGGUGGGAUAGAUGAUUGGGGUGAAGUCGUAACAAGGUA